This 1517-nucleotide ribosomal RNA is filed under the name Klebsiella pneumoniae. RNAcentral's name for it is "bacterial SSU rRNA". It matches the Rfam family "Bacterial small subunit ribosomal RNA". The record is from RNAcentral. Lineage: Bacteria; Pseudomonadati; Pseudomonadota; Gammaproteobacteria; Enterobacterales; Enterobacteriaceae.
AGAGUUUGAUCAUGGCUCAGAUUGAACGCUGGCGGCAGGCCUAACACAUGCAAGUCGAGCGGUAGCACAGAGAGCUUGCUCUCGGGUGACGAGCGGCGGACGGGUGAGUAAUGUCUGGGAAACUGCCUGAUGGAGGGGGAUAACUACUGGAAACGGUAGCUAAUACCGCAUAACGUCGCAAGACCAAAGUGGGGGACCUUCGGGCCUCAUGCCAUCAGAUGUGCCCAGAUGGGAUUAGCUAGUAGGUGGGGUAACGGCUCACCUAGGCGACGAUCCCUAGCUGGUCUGAGAGGAUGACCAGCCACACUGGAACUGAGACACGGUCCAGACUCCUACGGGAGGCAGCAGUGGGGAAUAUUGCACAAUGGGCGCAAGCCUGAUGCAGCCAUGCCGCGUGUGUGAAGAAGGCCUUCGGGUUGUAAAGCACUUUCAGCGGGGAGGAAGGCGAUAAGGUUAAUAACCUUGGCGAUUGACGUUACCCGCAGAAGAAGCACCGGCUAACUCCGUGCCAGCAGCCGCGGUAAUACGGAGGGUGCAAGCGUUAAUCGGAAUUACUGGGCGUAAAGCGCACGCAGGCGGUCUGUCAAGUCGGAUGUGAAAUCCCCGGGCUCAACCUGGGAACUGCAUUCGAAACUGGCAGGCUAGAGUCUUGUAGAGGGGGGUAGAAUUCCAGGUGUAGCGGUGAAAUGCGUAGAGAUCUGGAGGAAUACCGGUGGCGAAGGCGGCCCCCUGGACAAAGACUGACGCUCAGGUGCGAAAGCGUGGGGAGCAAACAGGAUUAGAUACCCUGGUAGUCCACGCCGUAAACGAUGUCGAUUUGGAGGUUGUGCCCUUGAGGCGUGGCUUCCGGAGCUAACGCGUUAAAUCGACCGCCUGGGGAGUACGGCCGCAAGGUUAAAACUCAAAUGAAUUGACGGGGGCCCGCACAAGCGGUGGAGCAUGUGGUUUAAUUCGAUGCAACGCGAAGAACCUUACCUGGUCUUGACAUCCACAGAACUUNUUGGUGCCUUCGGGAACUGUGAGACAGGUGCUGCAUGGCUGUCGUCAGCUCGUGUUGUGAAAUGUUGGGUUAAGUCCCGCAACGAGCGCAACCCUUAUCCUUUGUUGCCAGCGGUUAGGCCGGGAACUCAAAGGAGACUGCCAGUGAUAAACUGGAGGAAGGUGGGGAUGACGUCAAGUCAUCAUGGCCCUUACGACCAGGGCUACACACGUGCUACAAUGGCAUAUACAAAGAGAAGCGACCUCGCGAGAGCAAGCGGACCUCAUAAAGUAUGUCGUAGUCCGGAUUGGAGUCUGCAACUCGACUCCAUGAAGUCGGAAUCGCUAGUAAUCGUAGAUCAGAAUGCUACGGUGAAUACGUUCCCGGGCCUUGUACACACCGCCCGUCACACCAUGGGAGUGGGUUGCAAAAGAAGUAGGUAGCUUAACCUUCGGGAGGGCGCUUACCACUUUGUGAUUCAUGACUGGGGUGAAGUCGUAACAAGGUAACCGUAGGGGAACCUGCGGUUGGAUCACCU